ACCUCGCCCAGCGAUUUAAGUAUCGCCUUGUCGCCGCCUCUGUUAGUCCUGCUACCUCGAGAAGAAUUACCCUAAUCGCCAUUGGCGCUCGACGCUGGGGAGAGAGGAAGAAGCGUGCUCCGGUCGCCACCAUGAUCGCGCAGAGAGAGUGCGCCGGGAGUCACCACUUCGGAGCCGAGCGAGGUGGAGAGGAUAGCCCGUGGCUGGGGUGCCCGUGGUGUGUGCCAUCAGGCAGACAUUGCCGGGCGAGGUCACCACCCAGUGCUUCCUGGCGCACGCACCAGUGCCGGUGAUUGACGCCGCGCCGCAGGAACAAACCCGUCAACAUCCCCCUUGUUGGUAAGCUCAUGACCUCGGUUUGUUUUGACCCUCGCAGAGCGGAUCUAGAGAGGCUUAGUGGGUAGAAACCAUUACACCUUUGGGCUAUGUGCUGCAAAUGGCGCCGCCCUGGUGUAGACCGAUUGGAGUGGAGGAGAGAGGGUGUCGUGGGAUUGAAGACGAUCCAGGGACCGUUGGAUUCGGAAAGGGCGAGUGAGAUUAGAUCCAAACAAAAUACUCGCGGUUUGAUCCCCUGCCGUUGAGCUUGUAACUGAUGGCCGGAAUCGGUCCUAAAUACCGCUUCGGCUGGGGUAGGUUGGCCGUCGAUUUUGUAGGUAACGGCUCAGAUUAGAAGACAAUACCCCCUCGCGCGAUCUAGAUCAGGACCGUUGAAUUUUGAUCUGAUGGGUUGGAUCAGAUCAUGCCUAAAUAAAACCCACGCCGUUGGAUCUUUAUCCAACGGUGACUACUGCGUACCCGUUCAGUGGAGUCCUGGUCUAAUCUGAGCCAUCCAUUUAAGAUCAAACGACCCAUGUUAGAUCAUAACCCUUCGGCCGGGUGAUCUUGCAAUUGAACCCCUGUGGUCUCCAUGAAUUAACCCGUUGUCCACGCAGGGGGGCGCUCUGUGUCUUAGGGAAUUUUGCUCCAGAGACCCUGCAGUUUCCUGUAUUUGAGGCACAGUCCAGUUAAUAAGAAAAACAGAGAAAUUGAAUUAGAAAUUGAAUUUUUAAUAUAAAAACAAUUCCAGAAUUUUGUUAAAUCCAUAGAAAAUUCAUAUUAAGUCCAAAUGAGAUCAUUCCAAUUUCUAUAAUUCUAUAAUAUUAUUGUUCAUCACAUAGUACCUCUGUUUUGACAUGAAUAUCACAUUAAAAUUAAUAUCCUAAGUAAUCUUUUAUCCAACACUUAAAACUUAAUAAAUUCAUAACUUCUUCAUUUUAAUUCCGUUUUGAUCCAUUCAAGUUGUGUUAGUCUCGUAGCAACGUGUAGAUUAUUAUUACACAGUUUUAUUCUUAUGUUUGGUGUAAUGUUAAUUUUAUCUAUACCAUGUCUGUUUGUAUUGCUACGACUAGCGCGAGGACACGUGUCAUAUGAACGCAAGUUGGUACCUGGAAUCUCAAGUGUCAGGCAAGUUGUGCCCUUGAUUCACUUUUGUUACCCAAUAAUGUUCUUUAUAAUCAUUUACCAUGCAUAGGUUUAAUUUUGAUGGGACCCGAUAGGUCACCCUAGAUUGUUUAUCUCAUUACCUUGUUUACCCCUGAAUCACUUGGGUAGUUUGCUAUUGCUUUAUAUGGUUUUGGGAUAAUCAUUUAUUAUAUCCAUGUUCCAAUUAUUAUGUUAUUUUAUUUAUGUUCAUGUCAAGAUCAUUAUAUUAUUGUUAAUUGGAACAUGGAGCUUAACUUGAGAAACACGUGCCACCACAAGGGAGGAAUGGGACCCCUUGGCUGACUAAUUAGGAAAGCUAGUGGAAGACUACCUUACCCGAAAGGGGCAAGGGCAGUAGGGGAGUUGCAUGCAAGGAGGUUCUCGGGUUGAUUUGCUGCGAUGGCGGUCAGACGGGGGAUUCUUGCAAGUGCUCUUCCCAUAAACUGUAGCGGGUUUUCGGAAGCUAGUGGAACUUUGUAAAGGCCUCGUAGUGGAUCCCUAGCCAUUCACCUUGGUAGUGUCUAAGGGCCUAGCUAACCCUGGUGACAUGGGAAACACGACUUGUGGGUAAAGGGUACAACCUCUGCAGAGUGUAAAACUGGUAUACUAGCCGAGCUCACGGUCAUGAGCGGCUCAGGACUCUCCGAUGAUUAAAUUAUGGAACCUAAACUCAAUUUGUCAUUUGCAUUUGCAUGGGAUUAUUAUUAAUUUUGUUCUAUUACUUUAUUUAAGGUUUGGUAUUUACUUACAUGUAGUAACUGCUAAUAAAAUUUUGACCAACUACUUAAAAGCAAUGCUCAGCUUUAACCCCUAUUGUUGACAAGACUUACACUUCAUGAACUCCCCACCUUUGGUGAGUUCAUGUCACAUUAUUCCCCACAACUUGUUGAGCGAUGAACAUGUGUGAGCUCACCCUUGCUGUCUCACACCCCCCACAGGUCAAGAGCAGGUACCACUGGAGGAGGCACAUGGUGGAUGUUGCGCUGUGUUCGUGAGAUGUCCAGGGCGUCGUCUCCCAGUUGACUUAUGCGCCAAGGACGAUCCUUAGUUCGUGUUAUAUUUAUCUUUUAUUUUGUAAGUCUUCCGCUAUGUAAUAAAUACUCUGAUUAUUGUGACAUUUAUCUCUAUACACUCUGUUAUUAUAUAUGUUGUCUUCUUUGGCGCAUGUAUGAGAUGCACCUGGCUUUGUCCCUUAAAGCCGGGUGUGACAGAAGUGGUAUCAGAGGAAAUGUUGACUGUAGGACGAAACCUAGAUAGAAAUGGACAACUCUACCUACUUACCUUACUCUAACCCAUUCUAUACUUACCUUAUCUUGAUCAUGUCUCACCUUUUGCUGUCAUACUCUGAUUUCUCUUAUCUUUUCUAUUCUAAGACAAGAUGGAUUUCACACUUUGGAAUCCUACAUUUAUGACCUUUUUAGGAGAUAGGAGACGUAAGACAAAAUUUAAAACUAUUUUCUCUAUUAAAAAAAUGUUGGUUGAUUGUUCUGAUGAUAAAUGCCUGAUUUGCUUCUUUGAUUGAUUGAAAUAGUAUAGACGGGCAUCUUAGCAUGUACCACCAUAAGGUAAUGUAUUAGCUUUAGUAGGUGACACACUAAUCUACUUAGCUAAUAAAUCCCCCGCAGUAACAUUUCUCGUAAUUACUCGCCUUGUCUACAAUUCUUCCUUUCUUAUCCUGUGUUUCUAACCCAGAUGGACUACCCCUAUAGUGUUAGAAGAGAGCACUAUAGACGUGAUCCUUGGUAUGUCAAGGUUGAGAAAGGCAAAGGCAGUUUAUACGCUAUGCUAAAGGAACCAAAGAACUCACCAGUUCCAAAGGAGAAAGAUUUGAAGUUGCAGUAACUACCACCAUCAGACUAGCGGCAUUCUUAGUAGAUGAGAAGUUUGUGGGUGACAACAUCCGUGCAGUUAGGGAUUUUCCGGAUGUCUUUAUAGAGGAGUUAUUAGGGAUGCCACCAAAUAGGGAAGUUGAGUUCGUAAUUGAUCUUCUACCUGGAACUGCCCUAUUUCUAAACGGCCAUAUAGGAUGUCCUUAGAUGAACUAAAGGAACUUAAGAAGCAGUUAACAGAGUUACAAGAGGCUGGGUACAUUCAUUCGGAUUCUUCACCUUGUGGAGCGCCGGUUCUAUUUGUACAGAAGAAAGAUGGAUCACAAGGGAUGUGCGUGGAUUAAAGGUCCCUUAAUGGUGUCACUAUGAAGAACAAAUAUCCGUUACCCCGCAUUGAGGAUUUAUUGAUCGGAUGAAAGAUGCUAGGGUAUUCUUGAAGAUCGAUCUCUGAUCGGGUUAUCACCAAACGAAGAUUAGGCCAUCGGAUAUUCCCAAGAUGGAUUUCUCGACCCGAUAUGGUUUAUAUGAGUUCACCGUUAUGUCAUUUGGACUAACCAAUACACCAGCCUAUUUUAUGGAUCUGAAGAAUGAGGUGUUCAUGAUUUGGACAGAUUUGUCGUGGUUUUCAUCGACGAUACUCUUAUUUAUUCCAAGAGUGAUAGUGAUCAUGAGAAAUAUCUGAGAUUGGUGCUACAGAAGCUACGAGUAAAUGCGAGUUUUGGAUUGGUGAGGUGCCAUUUCUUGGACAUAUCAUUUCUAAUGGAGGAAUAUCAGUGGAUCCUGCUAAGGGUAAGAGAUAGUGGCGUGGAGCAUACCCACUAUAGUUACAGAGAUUCGGAGUUCUUGGGACUUGCAGGAUAAUAUUGGAGAUUUAUUGAAGGAUUUUCUAAGAUUGCUGAGCCUAUGACCUCGCUUCUGGAGAAGGGAAGAGAGUUUAAGUGGGACGAGAAGUGCCAAGAUAGCUUCGGUCAAUUAAAGAAGAGAUUGAUGUCACCACCCGUGUUUGUUAUGCCAGAUCAGUAGAAAGGAUUUGACAUUUAUUGUGAUGCAUGUGGCCAAGGCUUGGGAUGUGUACCUAUGUGAGAAGGACAUGUGAUCGCCUAUGCGUCUCGUCAGUUGCGGAAACACGAGUUGAACUACCCCACGCAUGUCUUGGAACUGGCAUCCGUUGUGCAUGCGCUUAAGAUUUGGAGACAUUAUAUUAUGGGAAACAAGUGUCAAGUAUGCACGGAUCAUAAGAGUUUGAAGUGUAUAUUCACUCAAAAGGAUCUUAACCUUAGGCAACGCCGUUGGUUGGAGCUUAUUAAGGAUUAUGAUUUGGAUAUUCACUAUCACCCGGGCAAGGCAAUUUGGUUGCAGAUGCCUUGAGUCAAAAGGAGCAUGUUCAUUCGGCUGUUGUUGCCCAGCUACUCGAUGAGAUUGUUGAGGAUUUCAGGAGACUUAACCUGGGGAUAAUUGCUCACACUGAAGAAGAUACUAUUGAUGUGGAAUCUACUUUGGAGCGAGAAAUCCGCAAAGGUCAACUUGAUGAUGCUAAAAUAAAAGAGAUUAAGGAUCUGAUUACUGAAGGUCGAGUUCUGGAAUUUACAGAAGAUGAGAAAGGCACCAUAUGGUUCAAGGACAGGAUAUGUGUCCCUAAGAUUGAAAGCCUUCGUGAGACUAUUUUAAAGGAAGCCCAUGACUCGGAUUAUUCUAGUCAUCCUGGUAGUACCAAGAUGUAUUAGGAUUUGAAGCAGAAAUACUGGUGGUAUGGAUUGAAGAUAGAUGUGGCUGCACAUGUGGCUAUGUGCGAUGUGUGUCAAAGAGUUAAGGCAGAACACCAAAGACCAACUGGACUAUUAUACCCAUUAAAGAUACCCGAAUGGAAGUGGGAAGAGAUUGGUAUGGAUUUCAUUACUGGAUUGCCUCGCACCUCGAAAGGAUAGGAUUCUAUAUGGGUUAUUGUGGAUAGACUAACCAAAGUGGCUCAUUUCAUUCCGAUCAAGACUACUUAUAAGGUAUCUCAAUUGGCAGAGUUAUAUAUCGCUCGGAUUGUGUCUCUACACGGUGUACCAAAGAAGAUCGUUUUGGAUAGAGGAUCACAAUUUACCUCUAGAUUUUGGAAAAGUUUUCAAGAGAAUGUGGAUACAAAGUUGAAUUCUAGUUCGGCCUACCAUUCUCAGACUGAUGGACAGACUGAAAGGACUAAUCAAGUAUUGGAAGAUAUGUUGAGAGCUUGUGCCCUUCAGCAUGGUAGUAGUUGGGACAAGAGUCUACCUUGUGCUGAGUUCUCAUAUAAUAAUAGUUACCAGGCCAGUCUGAAGAUGGCAUCGUUCGAGGCUCUGUAUGGCAGGAAAUGCAGGACUCCUCUAUUUUGGACCAGACUAGAGAAAAACAUAUCUUUGGACCUAAACUUAUUCGAGGUAGAAGAACAAGUCUGUAUAAUCAGGGAGAAUUUGAGGGUAGCUCAGACUAGGCAAAAGAGCUAUGCUGAUAAUAGAGGGAGACCACUGUAAUUUGAGGAUGGAGGUUAUGUGUACCUCAAGGUGUCACCACUUCGUGGAAUGAGGAGAUUCAAUGUUAAGGGCAAAUUGUCCCCUCGCUUCAUUGGACUAUUCUGAGUUUUUUUAGGCAAGUUGGAGAGAUGGCCUAUCAACUCGAGCUACCUGAUAAUCUAUCUGAUGUGCAUAAUGUAUUUCAUGUGUCUCAACUUAAGAAGUGUCUUUGUGUCCCUGAGGAACAGUUACCAAUGGAAGAGCUCGGUGUUCAGGGAGAUUUGACUUACACGGAGUAUCCUAUCAAGAUUCUUGACAUCUUGACUCGAGUUACAAGAAAUAAAGUUAUAAAGAUGUGCAGAGUGCAAUAGAGUUACCAUGGCGAAGAUGAAACAACAUGGGAAAGAGAAGAAGAGCUUCGCAUAGAUUUUCCCCACCUUUUCCCUCGUUCCUCCUAAAUCUCGGGGACGAGAUUCUUAUUAAGGGGGUAGGAUUUGUAAUACCCAAAGUUGUAAACUAUAGAGAGGGGGGAUAACGCUCUCAUGUACUUUGUCUCCAUUUAGUAUCACAUGUGAAUAACCACACGUAAAAGUGACUAAUUAACAAAUGAAACAAGAACAACUUGUGUAUCAUGCUGGAGUUUAUAUAUUUGUGUAUUCACUUCUAAAGAUAGUGAUAAUAGAAAUGUGCAAAUGGUGAAAUGGACAAUUAUUUAAUUUGGAAAAUUAAGAAUUGGAGAAAAAGAAGGAAGAGUACUAAACAAAAAAAUAUAAUAAGUGAAAAUAAAAAUAUAAAAUAAAAAUAUAAAGACAUAUAUAUAAAUAUAUUAUUUUUAUCAUAAGAUUUUAAUUUGUACAUUGAUAUAUGUACAAGUCACAACCAAAUUUAAAUUCAAAAUUUGAAAUCAAAAAAAAAUGAGAAAAGAAAAACAGAAAAGAUAAAAGCAAAGGGGAACCAGCAUCUGGGCCCAUUCUUACCUGUCUCGACCCAGUUCCACACUCCACGUUGCACGGUCACUCUCCCACCUUGGGCGCGCUUCUCUGCCACUGCACCGUUGGGCCCACAUCUCAGCCUCACACGACCAGUCCAUUCGCGCUUGUGCUGUGUCGUUGGCAAGUGGGACCAAUCGUCGGAUGCCGCGCGUGCGCCUGAUGGAUGCCUGGCCUCGCUGACUGGUGGGCCAUUGGCUACUGUUUAUCUGCUCACGAGUCCACCGAAGCCGUCAAACUGCGCGCACGGAUCGGAGCCCGUUACAACGAACUGAGCGCCGCGCGCGGACUGCCACCUCGCCCAGCGAUUUAAGUAUCGCCUUGUCGCCGCCUCUGUUAGUCCUGCUACCUCGAGAAGAAUUACCCUAAUCGCCAUUGGCGCUCGACGCUGGGGAGAGAGGAAGAAGCGUGCUCCGGUCGCCACCAUGAUCGCGCAGAGAGAGUGCGCCGGGAGUCACCACUUCGGAGCCGAGCGAGGUGGAGAGGAUAGCCCGUGGCUGGGGUGCCCGUGGUGUGUGCCAUCAGGCAGACAUUGCCGGGCGAGGUCACCACCCAGUGCUUCCUAGCGCACGCACCAGUGCCGGUGAUUGACGCCGCGCCGCAGGAACGGACCCGUCAACAUCCCCCUUGCUGGUAAGCUCAUGACCUCGGUUUGUUUUGACCCUCGCAGAGCGGAUCUAGAGAGGCUUAGUGGGUAGAAACCAUUACACCUUUGGGCUAUGUGCUGCAAAUGGCGCCGCCCUGGUGUAGACCGAUUGGAGUGGAGGAGAGAGGGUGUCGUGGGAUUGAAGACGAUCCAGGGACCGUUGGAUUCGGAAAGGGCGAGUGAGAUUAGAUCCAAACAAAAUAUUCGCGGUUUGAUCCCCUGCUGUUGAGCUUGUAACUGAUGGCCGGAAUCGGUCCUGAAUACCGCUUCGGCUGGGGUAGGUUGGCCGUCGAUUUUGUAGGUAACGGCUCAGAUUAGAAGACAAUACCCCCUCGCGCGAUCUAGAUCAAGACCGUUGAAUUUUGAUCUGAUGGGUUGGAUCGGAUCAUGCCUAAAUAAAACCCACGCCGUUGGAUCUUUAUCCAACGGUGACUACUGCGUACCCGUUCAGUGGAGUCCUGGUCUAAUCUGAGCCAUCCAUUUAAGAUCAAACGACCCAUGUUAGAUCAUAACCCUUCGGCCGGGUGAUCUUGCAAUUGAACCACUGUGGUCUCCAUGAAUUAACCCGCUGUCCGCGCAGGGGGGCGCUCUGUGUCUUAGGGAAUUUUGCUCCAGAGACCCUGCAGUUUCCUGUAUUUGAGGCACAGUCCAGUUAAUAAGAAAAACAGAGAAAUUGAAUUAGAAAUUGAAUUUUUAAUAUAAAAACAAUUCCAGAAUUUUGUUAAAUCCAUAGAAAAUUCAUAUUAAGUCCAAAUGAGAUCAUUCCAAUUUCUAUAAUUCUAUAAUAUUAUUGUUCAUCACAUAGUACCUCUGUUUUGACAUGAAUAUCACAUUAAAAUUAAUAUCCUAAGUAAUCUUUUAUCCAACACUUAAAACUUAAUAAAUUCAUAACUUCUUCAUUUUAAUUCCGUUUUGAUCCGUUCAAGUUGUGUUAGUCUCGUAGCAACGUGUAGAUUAUUAUUACACAGUUUUAUUCUUAUGUUUGGUGUAAUGUUAAUUUUAUCUAUAUCAUGUCUGUUUGUAUUGCUACGACUAGCGCGAGGACACGUGUCAUAUGAACGCAAGUUGGUACCUGGAAUCUCAAGUGCCAGGCAAGUUGUGCCCUUGAUUCACUUUUGUUACCCAAUAAUGUUCUUUAUAAUCAUUUACCAUGCAUAGGUUUAAUUUUGAUGGGACCCGAUAGGUCACCCUAGAUUGUUUAUCUCAUUACCUUGUUUACCCCUGAAUCACUUGGGUAGUUUGCUAUUGCUUUAUAUGGUUUUGGGAUAAUCAUUUAUUAUAUCCAUGUUCCAAUUAUUAUGUUAUUUUAUUUAUGUUCAUGUCAAGAUCAUUAUAUUAUUGUUAAUUGGAACAUGGAGCUUAACUUGAGAAACACGUGCCACCACAAGGGAGGAAUGGGACCCCUUGGCUGACUAAUUAGGAAAGCUAGUGGAAGACUACCUUACCCGAAAGGGGCAAGGGUAGUAGGGGAGUUGCAUGCAAGGAGGUUCUCGGGUUGAUUUGCUGUGAUGGCGGUCAGACGGGGGAUUCUUGCAAGUGCUCUUCCCAUAAACUGUAGCGGGUUUUCGGAAGCUAGUGGAACUUUGUAAAGGCCUCGUAGUGGAUCCCUAGCCAUUCACCUUGGUAGUGUCUAAGGGCCUAGCUAACCCUGGCGACAUGGGAAACACGACUUGUGGGUAAAGGGUACAACCUCUGCAGAGUGUAAAACUGGUAUACUAGCUGAGCUCACGGUCAUGAGCGGCUCAGGACUCUCCGAUGAUUAAAUUAUGGAACCUAAACUCAAUUUGUCAUUUGCAUUUGCAUGGGAUUAUUAUUAAUUUUGUUCUAUUAUUUUAUUUAAGGUUUGGUAUUUACUUACAUGUAGUAACUGCUAAUAAAAUUUUGACCAACUACUUAAAAGCAAUGCUCAGCUUUAACCCCUAUUGUUGACAAGACUUACACUUCAUGAACUCCCCACCUUUGGUGAGUUCAUGUCACAUUAUUCUCCACAACUUGUUGAGCGAUGAACAUGUGUGAGCUCACCCUUGCUGUCUCACACCCCCCACAGGUCAAGAGCAGGUACCACUGGAGGAGGCACAUGGUGGAUGUUGCGCUGUGUUCGUGAGAUGUCUAGGGCGUCGUCUCCCAGUUGACUUAUGCGCCAAGGACGAUCCUUAGUUCGUGUUAUAUUUAUCUUUUAUUUUGUAAGUCUUCCGCUAUGUAAUAAA
Molecule: long non-coding RNA, 9606 nt
Filed under: Zea mays
Lineage: Eukaryota; Viridiplantae; Streptophyta; Magnoliopsida; Poales; Poaceae
Description: long non-coding RNA (ZMAY_LNC004736)
Source: RNAcentral